GCGCCCGUAGCUCAACUGGAUAGAGCAGGGAACUUCUAAUUCUCAGGCUGGGGGUUCGAGUCCUCCCGGGCGCGCCA
RNAcentral lists this transfer RNA (77 nucleotides) under Alphaproteobacteria bacterium. RNAcentral describes it as "tRNA-Arg". It matches the Rfam family "tRNA". From Rfam's summary of the family: Transfer RNA (tRNA) molecules are approximately 80 nucleotides in length. Lineage: Bacteria; Pseudomonadati; Pseudomonadota; Alphaproteobacteria. The record is from RNAcentral.